AUUGAACGCUGGCGGCAUGCCUUACACAUGCAAGUCGAACGGUAACGGGCCUUCGGGUGCCGACGAGUGGCGCACGGGUGAGUAAUACAUCGGAACGUGCCCGACCGUGGGGGAUAACGAGGCGAAAGCUUUGCUAAUACCGCAUACGAUCUACGGAUGAAAGCAGGGGACCGCAAGGCCUUGCGCGGACGGAGCGGCCGAUGGCAGAUUAGGUAGUUGGUGGGAUAAAAGCUUACCAAGCCGACGAUCUGUAGCUGGUCUGAGAGGAUGAUCAGCCACACUGGGACUGAGACACGGCCCAGACUCCUACGGGAGGCAGCAGUGGGGAAUUUUGGACAAUGGGCGCAAGCCUGAUCCAGCCAUGCCGCGUGCAGGAUGAAGGCCUUCGGGUUGUAAACUGCUUUUGUACGGAACGAAAAGCCUUCUUUUAAUACAGGAGGGUCAUGACGGUACCGUAAGAAUAAGCACCGGCUAACUACGUG
Molecule: ribosomal RNA, 482 nt
Filed under: uncultured bacterium
Lineage: Bacteria
Description: partial 16S ribosomal RNA
Rfam family: Bacterial small subunit ribosomal RNA
Source: RNAcentral